Long non-coding RNA from Pistacia vera, 405 nucleotides. RefSeq lists it as uncharacterized. NCBI's taxonomy places the organism in Eukaryota, Viridiplantae, Streptophyta, Magnoliopsida, Sapindales, Anacardiaceae. The record is from RefSeq and is a predicted model, not a curated record. The transcript is spliced from 3 exons.
AGCAAAUGGACAAGAUCCAAAUGGAAGUGGGAGGCAAAGAGACAGCUAAGAUUGUUUGGGGUUCCAGCAGGAAGGCUAUCCCCGCAGAGGUCUAACCACUCAAGUGUGCUCUAAGUCAGGAGGAUGGCUUCAAGGAGCUUCAUGAUUUGGAGAGUUCAUUUGCUUCAUUUCCUAUCAAAUCAUUGCAAGAACUUAAUGGUUGUUUUGAUAUUGGUGAAGAUGAUGAGGGUUCAAGUAGUCCUACGUCAGUUUCUUUUAAGACCAAGAAAGUGGAAGGAGUGAGAGUGGGAAUUCAGGGAAAACUAGCUCUUUACCUUAUCAUCCCAUUCCUGAGCAUAAAAAGUUUUUGAGUGGUUCAGGAAUACUCGAUAAUGGUUUUUCUCCUACGGAAGUUACACGUGAAGG